AUCACUUCUCGGCCUUUUGGCUAAGAUCAAGUGAAGUGUAAAAAUAAGAUAAAAUAAUUUUUAAAAGUGGCACAAAAA
Oryctolagus cuniculus (rabbit) is the source of this 78-nucleotide small nuclear RNA. Its record names the gene U2. It matches the Rfam family "U2 spliceosomal RNA". Rfam says of the family: U2 is a small nuclear RNA (snRNA) component of the spliceosome (involved in pre-mRNA splicing). Complementary binding between U2 snRNA (in an area lying towards the 5' end but 3' to hairpin I) and the branchpoint sequence (BPS) of the intron results the bulging out of an unpaired adenosine, on the BPS, which initiates a nucleophilic attack at the intronic 5' splice site, thus starting the first of two transesterification reactions that mediate splicing. NCBI's taxonomy places the organism in Eukaryota, Metazoa, Chordata, Mammalia, Lagomorpha, Leporidae. The record is from Ensembl.